AUUGAGAAUAUAAUCAUGCGGCCCAUCACCGGCCCAUUGAGAAUAAUAAAAGGUGACUUUUAAAUCGUCGAAUCUGAAACUGUCCAUCACCGGAUGGGUCGUAUUUUUCAUCCGUUGUGAAUUGCAGUGAAGUUCUCUGCAGUUCAGACGUGGAUAAACGGUUGGAUCUCGCUUUUUGCGCAUCGAAUCGCGCCGUACGAGAAUUGUACCAAACGCUCGUCUUAAUCAUAUAUUCAUAUCUAAAUCCGACCCAAACUCAUCCAUGUCCAUUCCUAGAUGAAAAUUGAGAAUCUAAUUGAUGAUGUAAAUGCUAAUAUAUCACUCCCUUAAUACAUUUACACACGAUCACUAGUUAUAAAUUAAAGUAUAACAAGUUACAACUGUAUCGAUUGAAGCUAUAUGUUUAAGUUAUCCAUUAAUUAAUUCUGAUUAAUUAAGUAAUUCUGAGUAGAUAGUUACAAGGCCCAUAUUCUCAAGGCCCAAUAGCUUAGUCCAAUAGCUUAGAGUAUAAAUAAUCUCUUUGUAAUUAUUUUUAUUACUUUUUCAACUUUUAUCUAAAAUUCAAACUCUAAACCCUAGAAGGGUUUCUCCCAAAACUCGCGACUCUUCACUCUCCUAACCCUAAGCCGACCUCCAGAGCUUCCGGUCGUCUUCGCCGCCUCAUCGCCGUCUGUAUUCUUGUCAUGGUACCAGAGCCCUGGUGGUGAAGCCCGUGUCGAGUUGCUGGAGCGUCGCUGUAACUAUUCUCUAAAAGAGUGCCAAAGGAGAAGAGUUUCUGUUCCGAUAUUCUUCGAUGAUCUUGAUCUUCAACAUCCGUCUGGACUACUGUCUCUAGACAGAUCUGGUAUAUCUAAACCCUAACAACAACAAAAAAAAUAUAUACAAUCUUAAAAAAAAAAAAAAAAACUCCUAAAAUCAUUGCAUGUGAUCUUGCUCUUGCUUAGAUGUUUAGUCUCCAUAAUGUCAUGAUCUUUCGACUGCAUGCACGAUCAUCUAAACAUAAUCUACAUGCACUGUCACAUAAACAGAUCAUGACCAUGUUAGAGGGUAUAUGCCCCCAUUAUUUUGGGAAUGUUCCCCACCUAUUAAAUCAUACAUACAUGCAUGCUCUUCUGAGAGAACAGGCUUCUGUCUCACCUAAUGAUUAUUUAAAACCAUCCUAUGCUAAAUGUGUACUGUUAUGCAUGACUACUAUGUAUAUUGCUCUGCAUGACUAUUGUACAUAUUGCUGUUCAAAGUCACCCCAUUCUAAUACACAUUCUACUGUGCAUGACUUAAAUUGCAAGGGACUCUGUGUCUCCAUUCUUAUUGCAUAUAAGUAUACAUCACAUAAACUGAUAUAUCACUAUACACUCACUAUCAUGUCUACAUCUACAUAUGGACCAAACUAUUCAUACUAUAAAUGCAAACAAUAUCAACUAUUCAUUUACAUCAUUAAAUCAUCUAUACAUAUUCAUGCUAUUGAUACUCACUCUGAUAAAUACACGCUUCCGCAUAAUUCUUUAUAUCACAUAAAGCAUAUUUGUAGAUUGCAAAUAGAUUUAAUUCAAUUAUCUUACAUAAGCAACUCAAAGACUCUGUCUUCUCAUUGUCAAAUCUAUAUGACCAUUCAAUGCAACUUUCUAAUUCAUAUAUACUAUUGUAAUUCCUAUGGUCACAGAUCAAACAACAUGUCUGAUAAGACCCCAAGGGGUGGACCACUCUUUGAUCCUGUCUCCCCAUACUUCAUAAAAGCCACUGAUUAUGGCCCCCCAAGCAUAAUCAACACACUCCAAGGCAGCCAAAACUAUUAUCCCUGGAGUAGGGAGAUGACUACCAUGUUGAUCACUAGGAGGAAAUUAGGUUUUGUCUUAGGUACCCUCAGGGAGCCAAAUGUGAAAAAUACUGAUGAAUAUGAGGCCUGGGUCACCUGCCAUGGUGUCAUUAGGCAGUGGAUCUGGAGUUCAGUCUCCCCAGAGAUUGCAUCCCAGAUCAUGUACACUGAUGAUGCAUCAGUGAUAUGGAAUGACCUCAGGGACCAAUUCAGGCAGUCCAAUGAGACCCACAUCUAUCAGCUGGCUCAUGAUGUGGCUAUGAUGCAACAGGGUUCUGACUCUGUCUCCAAAUUUUGUUCUAACCUAAAAUCACUAUGGAGAGAGGUCGAUGCCUAUGGAGAGAUACCACACUGUGACUGUGGGAAAUGUAUUUGUAAUGUCAAUGGGAGGGCCAAUGAUAGAGAAGAGAGGCUCAAGAUUAGAAAAUUCCUAAUGGGUCUAAGUGAUGAGUAUAGGCAGGUCAGGUCACAUAUCCUAUCAAUGGAGACACUGCCUAACUUUGGAAAGGUCUACUCCAUGGUUGUUCAUGAAGAAUCCCAACUGCAAUUAACCUCCAACACAAGUACACAACAAGGCUCAGCCUUUUAUUCUGUGAAGGGGAAGUCACCAAUCACCCCCAAUGUAAAUCAAAACCCUAAGUACUCAGCUGUUCCACCCACACCUUCUAAUCCAAGGAAAAGGCCACCAACUCCAUCUGAACCACUCUACUACAAGAGUGGCAAGCCUGUAAAUCUGAGAUAUUAUUGCUUUCACUGCGCUGCCUUUGGCCACAGUGAUGAAAAAUGUUUUUUACAGCAUGGCUAUCCUAACAAAGGGGCAUCCACCAGUAAACCCAAUACCUCCACCCAACCUGAAUCCAUUAAGGUCCAAGGUUCUGUGAAUCAUGUGGGUACUGAGAAACAAGAGUGGUCACCCUGGAACAGUGCUGCCAAGCCUUCAAAGGAUGCUGACAAUCCGAUAGGACCAUAUGGCUUCCCUCUCUAUUCUGAGAAGUACAACCCGAAGCCAUUGCCAAAAUACAAUCCUGAUUCAGGUACUGCAAAUUCUAUUUUUGAUAAAUCUAACUUUCAUAACUACUGGAUUAUAGAUUCAGGUGCCUCAGAGCACCUCAGUGGCAAUAAAUCCUUAUUCAAAAAUCUAAAAAAAUGUGAGCCAUUCACAAUCUCACUUCCAAAUGGAGACAAACAAUUAGUCUCAGAGAAAGGUGAUGUGUCAGUAUCACCCAACAUCACUCUCAGUGAUGUAUACUUUGCAAAGUCCUUCCAAGUCAACUUGCUAUCAGUUAGCAAGUUGACAGAGGAGGAUCUAUACUAUGUUCAAUUUACUAAAAACUCUGCCUCUAUCUAUGACAAGGUUCAGAGGAGGGUAGCUGGACAGAGUGAAGCACAUGGAGGAUUAUAUCUACUGCCACAGACCAGUGGUAUUUUUUGUUUUGUUGGUGCCACAACAGUAAACACUUGGCACAACAGAUUGGGCCACACAUCCUGUGGCAGACAAAAUUAUAUUAUGAACAAUUUUACUUUAAAACAUGAUAACUCUAAAUUAGUUAAAUACUGUGAUAUUUGCCACUUUGCUAAACAAUCUAGAAAAUCUUUUCCUUUAUUUGCAUCUAGAUCUAAGAGUGCAUUUGAUCUUCUUCACAUGGAUGUGUGGGGGAACUUUCACACUCCAACCAUCCAUGGCAAGAAAUAUUUCUUGACAGUGGUUGAUGACCACACAAGAUAUACAUGGACUUUCCUCAUUGCUAUGAAAUCUGAAUGUUUUAAUUUAUUUAAAAACCUAUAUGCUCUUAUUCUAAAUCAAUUUGGCAAAUCUGUCAAAGCAAUUAGGACAAAUAAUGGUGGGGAGUUCUUCUCCUCCACCAUGGAUGACUUCCUCAAAGAGAAAGGCAUCAUACAUUACUCAAGCUGUCCUCACACACCACAACAGAAUGGUGUGGUUGAGAGGAAGCACCAACACUUACUCAGUGUGGCAAGGGCAUUACAAAUGCAAUGCUCUUUACCCAUUGAGCUAUGGGGAUUUUCAAUUCUUCAUUCAACAAAGAUAAUAAAUAUGUUACCAUCCAAGGUAACUGACAACAAAACCCCUUUUGAACUUAUACACUCAAAAAGGCCAGACUUUGAGAAAUUGAGAUCUUUUGGAUGCCUUUGCUAUGCCACUUGUUUGGUAAAGAAUGAUAAAUUCUCCCCCAGAGCAAACAAGUAUAUAUACAUAGGUGACUCCUCUAAACAAAAGGGAGCCAUCCUAUACAACAUAGAAACUAAACUCAUAACAAUCAGUAGGGAUGUGACUUAUUAUGAGGAGGUUUUCCCCCUCAAGAAGGAUGAAAUAUCACAAGAAGAUCAAUCAUUACUUCCUCAUCACUCAUAUUCAGAAAACAUAGACUCACAAGGUCCACCUGAGAGCCAAUGCACUGAAAGUGAUGAUGAGAACACUGAUGACUUGGCUGUUCAAAACACUGAUGAUUUGAUCAUCCAAAACACUGAUGACCUUGUCAAUCAAACCAAUCCCAUCCAUGACCCAAUCACUAGGAGAUACCCUAGGAGAGAAACAACAAGAUCCACUAAAUUAAAUGACUACUAUUGUUCAUUUGUCACUAGCACUGGUAGGUCAACAGGAACCAAGUUUCCCAUGCAUGACUAUUUAACAUAUAAGAGACUCACCACAUCUCAAACUGAUUACCUAGACAAGAUCUCCACCACAACAGAGCCCUCAUCAUUCCAACAAGCAAGCCUCAGCCCUGAAUGGAUUAAGGCAAUGAAUGAGGAACUAGCAGCUCUAGAGCUGAAUGACACAUGGGACAUUGUCCCCAAACCAAAAGACAGGAAAAUUGUUGGUUCUAGAUGGGUCUAUAAGGUGAAACACAAAUCCAAUGGUGAUGUGGAGAGGCUAAAAGCAAGGUUAGUGGCUAAAGGCCACACCCAAAUAGAAGGUUUUGAUUAUAAAGAAACCUUCUCCCCUGUUGCUAAGAUUGUGUCAGUAAGGACACUAUUGGCAGUAGCAUCUAUUAAGGACUGGACUACUUACCAAAUGGAUGUAAGUAAUGCAUUCCUACAUGGAGAUCUCUCAGAAGAGAUCUACAUGUCACCUCCACCUGGGCUACUGUCCUCUGAUGAUCCCAGAGUAUGUAGACUCAAGAAAUCUCUAUAUGGAUUGAAACAAGCAAAUAGGAAUUGGUAUGAAAAAUUAACCAAUGCCUUAGUUAAAUUUGGAUAUACUCAAUCUCAUGCUGACUACACAUUAUUUUUUAAAUCAAAUGGAAACUCUUAUACUUGUCUUUUAAUCUAUGUGGAUGAUCUGAUUAUAUCAGGGAAUGACCAGGUUGAAAUAGAUAAUCUAAAGUGUCACUUACACCAACAAUUCCACAUAAAGGACUUGGGGAAACUCAAAUACUUUCUGGGCAUUGAGGUGUCUCAAACAAACAAAGACAUAUUUAUCUCUCAGAGAAAAUAUGCUCUUGACAUAUUACAUGAAUUUGGCCAACUUGGCACUUCAGAUCCAAAAUCCCAAUAUCUCACUCAUCUAAAGACAAUGAGGCAAAUCCCAUUCUAAAAGAUCCAUCACUAUACAGGAAAUUGAUUGGUAAAUUACUAUACUUAACAAUUACUAGGCCUGAUAUUGCCUUUGCAGUAAGCCACUUCAGUCAAUUCCUUGCAAAUCCAUCCAAACAACAAUAUGAAGCAGCCCUCAAAAUUCUAAAAUACAUCAAAGGAUCACCAGGGAAAGGUAUCUUAUACAGGAAGAAUGCUUCAUUACAAUUAAAAGCCUAUUGUGAUGCAGAUUGGGCUGACUGCCCAAGAACAAGGAGAUCUAUCACUGGGUACAGUAUUCUGCUAGGUGGAUCUGCAAUCUCUUGAAAAUCCAAGAAACAAUCCACAAUAAGCAGAUCCUCUGCUGAGAGUGAAUAUAGGUCAAUGGCAUCCACUGUGUGUGAAAUAAUGUGGAUACACUAUCUCUUGAAUGACUUGCAGGUUCAACAAGCUGAAGAAACUAAACUAUAUUGUGAUAACAUGGCAGCCAUACAUAUUGCUUCAAAUCCUGUAUUUCAUGAAUGCACCAAGCAUAUUGAAAUUGAUUGCCACUUGGUGCGUGAUCAUCUACAGGCUGGUUUAUUCAAACUGGAACAUGUUCCAUCGACAUCACAGGUUGCUGAUAUCUUAACAAAACCAGCAAGUCUGGAAUCUUUGAGAAAUCUGCUGCCCAAGCUGGGACUUUAUGAUCUGCACUCUCCAGCUUGAGGGGGGGUAUUGAAGCUAUAUGUUUAAGUUAUCCAUUAAUUAAUUCUGAUUAAUUAAAUAAUUCUGAGUAGAUAGUUACAAGGCCCAUAUUCUCAAGGCCCAAUAGCUUAGUCCAAUAGCUUAGAGUAUAAAUAAUCUCUUUGUAAUUAUUUUUAUUACUUUUUUCAACUUUUAUCUAAAAUCCAAACUCUAAACCUUAGAAGGGUUUAUCCCAAAACUCGACUCUUCACUCUCCUAAACCUAAGCCGACCUCCAGAGCUUCCGGUCGUCUUCGCCGCCUCAUCGCCGUCUGUAUUCUUGUCAAGUUCAACAGAAAAAAAACGAGACCAGAGAACAUCGUAACGCACUAGCCAUCCACAGACCACCGGAAACUAAAAUGAACAUCAGCUCAAACACAGAGAAAUAACGAGCCAAGGGAACAACGGAACCCAAUAGCCGUCCACAGACCACCUGAAACUGAAAUGAACACCAGCUCAAACACCGAGAAAUAACGAUGCCAGAAAACAUCGGAAACCACUAGCCUUCGAACGAUCAACGGAAAAUAAAGGGAACAACAGAUCGAAGAGCGAAAAAAAACGAUGCCAGAGAACAGAAAUAACCCACUUGCCAUCGACCGAUCAUCGGAAACAGAAAUAACCACCAGCUCACACAAAGAACAAGGACUGUACUAAACCAAACACUGGAAGAACAUAAAAAAAAGAGAACAUGAUCAAUCAACUAGCAAUGAGGAUCAUUGUAGCUAUGUUCCAUUUAGGUGUUGUUCUGGAAGGUUUUUGGGGUUUGAAGGGGUUUUGGUUUCUAAGGGGUAUUUUUUCUUUGAAUUUGGUCGAAGAUGGAAGAUGGUAGAAGAUAGAUGUAGGAAGAAGAAGACGGAAGAAGGUUUAGGGGAGGUCUU
This 6947-nucleotide long non-coding RNA is filed under the name Zostera marina. RNAcentral's name for it is "long non-coding RNA (ZMAR_LNC001247)". The record is from RNAcentral. Lineage: Eukaryota; Viridiplantae; Streptophyta; Magnoliopsida; Alismatales; Zosteraceae.